Molecule: long non-coding RNA, 567 nt
Organism: Engraulis encrasicolus (European anchovy)
Lineage: Eukaryota; Metazoa; Chordata; Actinopteri; Clupeiformes; Engraulidae
Exons: 3
Source: RefSeq, a predicted model, not a curated record
AUCCUAAUCAGCAGCAGACACCACCAAAGCAGCACCAUCAGAGGCCACCAAAACCACCAAAACACAGGCAUCCUCACUACCAACAACUAGCAGAACGACAAGGUUCUUCUCCUCAGUUGUGGAAACUACAAAGACAACCGUCUGAUCAUCAACCACAGACAGAACAACAACAAGAAGAAACACCACGAGCUACUCAGCAGCCUGACCAUCAACAACUGGCCCAGGAACAGCAGCGGCAUCAGCAGCCAUCGGCGCGAGAGCAGCACCCCCCUCGUCAGCAUCCAUGGAAACAGAAGCCUCAUCAGCAGCAUCAGCAGGGACUAGAUCUGCAGCAGCAUCAGCAGCCUACGAAGAGCAGGCCUCCCAGGGACAAAGAGGCACGGCAGAACCAACAGAUACAACAGGCCGCGUGUGAGCAGGCCGUCUUCCUGCCUCCCCCGCACGGCAUCCUGGGAGUCUGUGGCACCCAAUCAGACAGCGCCAUCAGCGGGCAGGAAGUGGUGACGGGCCAGCGUCUGUUCUACGGGGCGCGCGUGGGCAGCGAGACACGCAACGUGGAGUUCAAGA